This 460-nucleotide ribosomal RNA is filed under the name uncultured bacterium. Its description in RNAcentral is "partial 16S ribosomal RNA". It matches the Rfam family "Bacterial small subunit ribosomal RNA", at positions 338 to 795 of the family's 1533-position model. The record is from RNAcentral.
CCUACGGGUGGCUGCAGUGAGGAAUAUUGGUCAAUGGGCGGAAGCCUGAACCAGCCAAGUAGCGUGCAGGAUGACGGCCCUACGGGUUGUAAACUGCUUUUAUACGGGAAUAACGCGCCUUACGUGUAGGGCUUUGCAUGUACCGUAUGAAUAAGGACCGGUUAAUUCCGUGCCAGCAGCCGGGGUAAUACGGAGGGUCCGGGCGUUAUCCGGAUUUAUUGGGUUUAAGGGGAGCGUAGGCGGGAUGUCAAGCGUGCUGUGAAAUGUCCGGGCUCAACCCGGGCCUUGCAGCGCGUACUGGCGUGCUUGAGGCCGCGGAAGGCAGGCGGAAUUCGUGGUGUAGCGGUGAAAGGCUUAGAUAUGACGAAGAACCCCGAUUGCGAAGGCAGCUUGCUGCAGCGGAACUGACGCUGAUGCUCGAAAGCGCGGGUAUCGAACAGGAUUAGAUACCCUAGUAGUC